This is a long non-coding RNA of Xenopus laevis (African clawed frog), 1610 nucleotides long. RefSeq lists it as uncharacterized. Lineage: Eukaryota; Metazoa; Chordata; Amphibia; Anura; Pipidae. The transcript is spliced from 3 exons. The record is from RefSeq and is a predicted model, not a curated record.
AGUGACACAGAUCUUUCUGCAGCUGUGCUGUCUCCUAACAAUCGGCUCUCUGCUAGCAGGCUGCAAACAGCAGACAAGAUCAGUGGAUUGCAGAGUGAGCACCACAUUGCACCGUAUGCUGUUUGCAGCCUGCCAGCCGAAAGCCGAUUGUAAGGAGAAGUACAGGAGACAGCACAGCUGCAGAAAGAUCAGUUUUACAACUAUUGAUGUGACAUCGACAACUUUUGAGACAUUGCAUGUGUGUCUACAUAUUUUGGCAAGCUAAGAUUCCAUAUUCUAAUGUCACAACAAGGCAAUGAAAGUGGAAUAUAUUUCAAGGGAAGAUUCUGAAAUUGGGACAGAGGUAUGAUUUUAAUGGGGCUUUGAUUAGUGAAAUUCAGACUAGUAGAAAAUGAAACAGUUUGUUAUGUAACUCAAUAAAAUCAGUUACACAUUUCUUAGUGGGGAGAAAACAACAUUUACGGCACUCCUUGUCAUAAAUGAUUCUUUCCCUGGAAAGCCUUGAUGCCUUGAAGGCAUUUGAGUGAAUGUCAGCAGUGGCUUCUCCUGCCAUCAUCACCUCAAUAAAUGGGGAUUAGUUAUUUGCUUACUUUAGCAAUCAGCUAUUUACAGUGACUCUGUCGGAUGAUAGUAGUUUCAAAGCUGGAGUUAAUUUACUAUUCCUCCCUUUUCCUUAUAGACUUUUCCUUGACCUUGAUACCUUGAUUCUCUCUCCCAACUUUACAUUGAAAGCAAUAAAAAUUCCUUUGACCAUGGCAGUCGCUUGCAUCCAAAGGAAUGUUUAAGGGCAUCUACUGUAGUAGUCAUAAUUAAACAUUUGUCAUAGGCCUAACAAACAUAUUCAGAAUAGAAUCAAGUCUUAUCAGAUCCCCAGUGCCCCAGUGGGUUUCUAGGCAGUGAUCUGACUUUGAGGCAGCUCUGUUACUAUUUGCAAUAGUACUUGUUUGCACAAUUCUUAUGAGGUGAAAUUGUCAAGGUCAUUUUCACUCAUGAUCUCAUCAUUCACUUGGAUUGAAUAAUAAAGAAAAGUAAGUCUUAAGUACCAUUUUCCUACUAGAGCCCAGCGAUUUUAAUAAUUAGUUGUCCCAAUGUAAAACAUUCCUUUUUAUUGGAUUAUUUACAUUGUAUCAUUGCACCAUGCAUCUGAAUUUAUGCAAUUUAGCAAGUAUUACAGGAUAUCCUGCGUCCAGUACAAGCUGCAGUAAGAUUCAAGAACUCGUGCAAUGGAGUCUUUUUUUGGAGGAAAAAAGAAUACACUCUUCAUAAUUUAUCUGCUUUGAAAACAUUCUUCACAAAAGUGAAAAAAUAAUGGCCCAAAACCAAAAUUUGAUUGCUUGCAUAUUUUAGGAAAAAGUGAGUUCAACACACUAUUGAACUCACAUCAAAGAAAGAAAAAUGUUUUGUAAUGCUUGCUUGUGUGUGGUACAUUUAAAGUUAGAUGAAUGUUCAUGUACUUAUAUAAAGAGAGUAAUGCAAUUCUACAAGUAUGACCAAACAGUAAAAAAAUGAUGAUUACAAUUCAACGGAUCUAAGGGUGUUAUUCAUCAACAUGGGAAAUGAUUCACCCAUCAGGUUAACCGUACCAAUAAAUUAGCAAAUAGCUUUUAUUG